AUUGAUUUUAUGCUUGCAUAAAUGAUUUUUGGAUUCGGAGCGAGUGGCGAACUGGUGAGUAACACGUGGGUAACCUGCCCCGAAGCGGGGGAUAACAUUUGGGAACAAGUGCUAAUACCGCAUAAUUAGUUGGAACCGCAUGGUUCCAACUUGAAAGAUGGCUCUGCUAUCACUUUGGGAUGGACCCGCGCCGUAUUAGUUAGUUGGUGAGAUAAAAGCCCACCAAGACGAUGAUACGUAGCCGACCUGAGAGGGUAAUCGGCCACAUUGGGACUGAGACACGGCCCAGACUCCUACGGGAGGCAGCAGUAGGGAAUCUUCCACAAUGGACGAAAGUCUGAUGGAGCAACGCCGCGUGAGUGAUGAAGGUUUUCGGAUCGUAAAACUCUGUUGUUAAAGAAGAACAAGUGUUAGAGUAACUGUUAACACUUUGACGGUAUUUAACCAGAAAGCCACGGCUAACUACGUGCCAGCAGCCGCGGUAAUACGUAGGUGGCAAGCGUUGUCCGGAUUUAUUGGGCGUAAAGCGAGCGCAGGCGGUUUUGUAAGUCUGCUGUGAAAGCCCUCAGCUCAACUGAGGAAGUGCAGUGGAAACUACAAAACUUGAGUACAGAAGAGGAAAGUGGAACUCCAUGUGUAGCGGUGAAAUGCGUAGAUAUAUGGAAGAACACCAGUGGCGAAGGCGGCUUUCCGGUCUGUUACUGACGCUGAGGCUCGAAAGCAUGGGUAGCGAACAGGAUUAGAUACCCUGGUAGUCCAUGCCGUAAACGAUGAAUACUAGGUGUUGGAGGGUUUCCGCCCUUCAGUGCCGCAGCUAACGCAUUAAGUAUUCCGCCUGGGGAGUACGACCGCAAGGUUGAAACUCAAAGGAAUUGACGGGGGCCCGCACAAGUGGUGGAGCAUGUGGUUUAAUUCGAUGCUACGCGAAGAACCUUACCAGCUCUUGACAUCUUCUGCCAACCCAAGAGAUUGGGCGUUCCCUUCGGGGACAGAAUGACAGGUGGUGCAUGGUUGUCGUCAGCUCGUGUCGUGAGAUGUUGGGUUAAGUCCCGCAACGAGCGCAACCCUUAUUAUUAGUUGCCAGCAUUUAGUUGGGCACUCUAGUGAGACUGCCGGUGAUAAA
This 1123-nucleotide ribosomal RNA is filed under the name uncultured bacterium. RNAcentral describes it as "bacterial SSU rRNA". It matches the Rfam family "Bacterial small subunit ribosomal RNA", at positions 47 to 1162 of the family's 1533-position model. The record is from RNAcentral.